GCCUUUAUGGUGUAACGGUAGCACACUCGGCGCGUAUUUGAGAAGUCCAGGUUCGAAUCCUGGUGAGGGCA
Molecule: transfer RNA, 71 nt
Filed under: Stegodyphus mimosarum
Lineage: Eukaryota; Metazoa; Arthropoda; Arachnida; Araneae; Eresidae
Rfam family: tRNA
About the family: Transfer RNA (tRNA) molecules are approximately 80 nucleotides in length. Their secondary structure includes four short double-helical elements and three loops (D, anti-codon, and T loops).
Source: Rfam by way of RNAcentral